AUCGCUUCUCGGCCUUAUGGCUAAGAUCAAAUGUGUAGUAUCUGUUCUUAUCACCAGGGGUGCUGGUGAACUUUAGAGAGCAGAUGCUGGAGAUUCGAUGUGAGCCUGUUUAAAGCUGAAAUGUGGAUUAUGGAUUGAUAUUUAGUGCCUUGGAAUAAUAGCGAAUGAUAUUUCGUCGGUUUUGUGUGGAAAUUAUCGAAU
Molecule: small nuclear RNA, 201 nt
Organism: Centruroides sculpturatus (bark scorpion)
Lineage: Eukaryota; Metazoa; Arthropoda; Arachnida; Scorpiones; Buthidae
Product: U2 spliceosomal RNA
Exons: 1
Source: RefSeq, a predicted model, not a curated record